This 598-nucleotide ribosomal RNA is filed under the name Dothiorella viticola. Its description in RNAcentral is "eukaryotic LSU rRNA". It matches the Rfam family "Eukaryotic large subunit ribosomal RNA", at positions 92 to 706 of the family's 3401-position model. Lineage: Eukaryota; Fungi; Ascomycota; Dothideomycetes; Botryosphaeriales; Botryosphaeriaceae. The record is from RNAcentral.
AGUGAAGCGGCAAUAGCUCAAAUUUGAAAGCUGGCCCCUUUGGGGUCCGCGUUGUAAUUUGUAGAGGAUGAUUCGGCGAGGGCUCCCGUCUAAGUCCCCUGGAACGGGGCGUCAUAGAGGGUGAGAAUCCCGUAUGUGAUGGGUUGCCUUAGCCAUGUGAAUCUCCUUCGACGAGUCGAGUUGUUUGGGAAUGCAGCUCUAAAUGGGAGGUAAAUUUCUUCUAAAGCUAAAUACCGGCCAGAGACCGAUAGCGCACAAGUAGAGUGAUCGAAAGAUGAAAAGCACUUUGGAAAGAGAGUUAAAAAGUACGUGAAAUUGUUGAAAGGGAAGCGCUUGCAGCCAGACUUGUCCGCAGUUGCUCAGCCGGUCUCCUGACCGGCGUACUCUUCUGCGGCCAGGCCAGCAUCAGUUCGGGCGGUCGGAUAAAGGCCCCAGGAAUGUAGCUCCUCUCGGGGAGUGUUAUAGCCUGGGGUGGAAUGCGACCAGCCUGGACUGAGGAUCUCGCUUCGGCUAGGAUGCUGGCGUAAUGGCUGUAAGCGGCCCGUCUUGAAACACGGACCAAGGAGUCUAACAUCUAUGCGAGUGUUUGGGUGUCAAA